This is a long non-coding RNA of Alligator sinensis (Chinese alligator), 1861 nucleotides long. RefSeq lists it as uncharacterized. The record is from RefSeq and is a predicted model, not a curated record. Lineage: Eukaryota; Metazoa; Chordata; Crocodylia; Alligatoridae. The transcript is spliced from 7 exons.
AGGAGGGAAGGAUGUAUCGAGGAAGUAAACUGAUGACUCUGGUGGUGGUGCUACUGAGAGGGCUUCAUAUUCCUUGACCACAGCAUGCACUUGAGGGAGAGAGGACUCCUGGGAAGGGAUGGCAUCCACCUCGCAUGGAAAGUUGCAGAUUCAUAUAAAUGAAUAAAAAUAGCUUUCAUCCCUCUAUCAAAUGUAAAGAAGAUUUCUGUUAUGAAGAUGGAGGGACUGUUCACCUGACUUGGGUUAUGUUGAGUAGAAGAGACUGACUCUUGGAACAGAAACUACUUAAAAUGUGCUUCAAACUACUCAUCUGAACCAGAAUCUGAAAGAGUUUAACUCGUAAUUCCUAAGACCCAGGUCCUUUCUUCUACCAGAGCCGUCUCACUUCUCAGGCAUUCAGCUACAAAAAGAUGCUUUGAAGAUGCUGAGCUAAAGGAUAUAAAAGAGGAAUGAAACUGCUAAUGGCACGCUUGAAGAAUGAGAAAUCGUUCUGACAAGAACUGCUACUGUGCUCAGCUGAUGUUUUGGUGAACUGAUCCACACCUUGAAGAUGACAAGACCGAAACUGCCUCUUUGCCCGUAUUGAUUGGAAUUCUGUCACUCCUGUCACUAUUGGUAAUUGCUUCCUGAAGGCAUGUUUCAGCUUGCCAACCGAUCCAGAACAGAUGAUAUUGGCAAUAGGCCUGGGGAACCUGUUAUGGAUGCAGAAUGAUCUACAAUCACUGAUGAGCCCUGCAAGUUACCUCUUUGUGCUACCCACAUGUAUAGCUGAUCAAGGGUCUAAAACUUUUAUGAGUGUUGCAAAAAUCAGACAAAGGUAAAGAGCAUCAGCUCUCUGAAUAUCUCCAAAUGGUAGCAAGGCUCUCCUUUGACCAGGGUCAACAAAGAACUACUGGACCAUGGAGAUGUGAUGUUUACCUGGUCUUCUAGAGUAAGCAGGAAGGAAUGAUCAUGCCACCCUUCUUUUUCAUAUCUCAGUAAUGUCAUGGAUGUCUUCUGGUCCUUCAAACACUGCAAAAGCACAGUGAUGGACUGACUUGGUUUAAAAUUAUGGGGACAAUUGUUAUAACCCCUUUGUGACAGAGGUCAUAAAUUGUCCAAUAAACCAAUUGACACUAACUGGUAGGUUAAACAUGAGAGUGCUAUGACCUGUUGGGAAGCAGGCUGAAAGACAGCAUUACUGAACUGUGCCCUAAAACCAGUUUGCCUGAAGAUUUUGAACAUGGACCUAUGUUUUUCCACAUUUGAAGUAGGGUUAUCUGUGGAUAAGCCUUGCUUGUGUUCUUGCUGUGUUAAACUUCUUUGUUCAAGGGUAAGUAGGCAUUAUGUACAGACAGUGACUUAACUAAAUAAUAUCUGCAUCCACUUCUCAAACAGAGAGGGAUUAACCAAAUACUGGCAUCUUCCUGACCUCUCAAAAGCUGGAGAAAUAGAAAUGGGGGAGAGGGGGGAUGAAUUAUUGAAUUAUUAAAUGACUUCCAACAUUCUUCUGCUGACAGCAUUUUUCAUAAAGGAUUAUGUAUUCAAAAACUUGUUUAACCUCUAAAAGUUAAGCAUAACCAUAACUAACAAGGUAACUUUUUGCAAGGGCUGAAGGGCUGACUAAAUAAAUUGCUAAAACAUUAAUAUAUACAAUAUUUUCCUUAUUCCUCUCUUUCUGUGCCUGGUCUAAUUAAGGAUAGAUCCAUAAAACAGAUGUGUGGUUGGAUUUUAGCACCCGGACAAAAUCUUAUUAACUUCACUGGGACGCUGCAUGGGGUCUAUCAUGCUUCCAUGACCAGUAAAUUGUACAAGGCCUACAUUUUGACUUUGCAAUGGGGGUGCUCACAAUACAUAAAUUUAAGCAUAUGUGCAUGUUGCU